GGAAUCUUGCGCAAUGGACGGCAGUCCGACGCAGCGACGCCGCGUGGGUGAAGACGGCCUUCGGGUUGUAAAGCCCUUUUCUGGGGGAAGAGAUAGGACGGUACUCCAGGAAUAAGUGUCGGCUAACUACGUGCCAGCAGCCGCGGUAAUACGUAGGACACGAGCGUUAUCCGGAUUUACUUGGGCGUAAAGCGCCUGUAGGCGGUUCUUCAAGUCGUUUGUGAAAGCCCUGGGCUCAACUCGGGGAGGCCAAGCGAUACUGGGAGGACUUGAGGGUGACAGAGGGGAGUGGAAGUUUCCGGUGUAGCGGUAAAAUGCGCAGAUAUCGGGAAGAACGACCAGUGGCGAAGGCGGCGUCCCUCGGGUCCACACCACGACGCUGAGAGGCGAAAGCUAGGG
RNAcentral lists this ribosomal RNA (399 nucleotides) under uncultured bacterium. RNAcentral describes it as "bacterial SSU rRNA". It matches the Rfam family "Bacterial small subunit ribosomal RNA", at positions 358 to 765 of the family's 1533-position model. The record is from RNAcentral.